Molecule: ribosomal RNA, 468 nt
Filed under: uncultured bacterium
Lineage: Bacteria
Description: partial 16S ribosomal RNA
Rfam family: Bacterial small subunit ribosomal RNA
Source: RNAcentral
GACGAACGCUGGCGGCGUGCUUAACACAUGCAAGUCGAACGGAAAGGCCCUGCUUUUUUGGGGUGCUCGAGUGGCGAACGGGUGAGUAACACGUGAGUAACCUGCCCUUGACUUUGGGAUAACUUCAGGAAACUGGGGCUAAUACCGGAUAGGAGCUCCUGCUGCAUGGUGGGGGUUGGAAAGUUUCGGCGGUUGGGGAUGGACUCGCGGCUUAUCAGCUUGUUGGUGGGGUAGUGGCUUACCAAGGCUUUGACGGGUAGCCGGCCUGAGAGGGUGACCGGCCACAUUGGGACUGAGAUACGGCCCAGACUCCUACGGGAGGCAGCAGUGGGGAAUAUUACACAGUGGGCGGAAGCCUGAUGCAGCAACGCCGCGUGCGGGAUGACGGCCUUCGGGUUGCAAACCGCUUUCGCCUGUGACGAAGCGUGAGUGACGGUAAUGGGUAAAGAAGCACCGGCUAACUACGUG